CUUCUGAGGCCCGGAGGUGCUACGGAAUCCUGGAAUCGGGAUUGGCCAACUUGUGCCCCAUGCUGGUGGAUCGCUGAGGAGGAGGUUCUCAGGGGGAGUUGCCUUGAGAGGCAUGCUGUCUGCUUGGAAGGAAGCCCUUCGUUUCUUCUGAGGCCCGGAGGUGCUACGGAAUCCUGGAAUCGGGAUUGGCCAACUUGUGCCCCAUGCUGGUGGAUCGCUGAGGAGGAGGUUCUCAGGGGGAGUUGCCUUGAGAGGCAUGCUGGCUGCUUGGAAGGAAGCCCUUCGUUUCUUCUGAGGCCCGGAGGUGCUACGGAAUCCUGGAAUCGGGAUUGGCCAACUUGUGCCCCAUGCUGGUGGAUCGCUGAGGAGGAGGUUCUCAGGGGGAGUUGCCUUGAGAGGCAUGCUGGCUGCUUGGAAGGAAGCCCUUCGUUUCUUCUGAGGCCCGGAGGUGCUACGGAAUCCUGGAAUCGGGAUUGGCCAACUUGUGCCCCAUGCUGGUGGAUCGCUGAGGAGGAGGGGGGAGUUGCCUUGAGAGGCAUGCUGUCUGCUUGGAAGGAAGCCCUUCGUUUCUUCUGAGGCCCGGAGGUGCUACGGAAUCCUGGAAUCGGGAUUGGCCAACUUGUGCCCCAUGCUGGUGGAUCGCUGAGGAGGAGGGGGGAGUUGCCUUGAGAGGCAUGCUGUCUGCUUGGAAGGAAGCCCUUCGUUUCUUCUGAGGCCCGGAGGUGCUACGGAAUCCUGGAAUCGGGA
Molecule: long non-coding RNA, 747 nt
Organism: Lemur catta (Ring-tailed lemur)
Lineage: Eukaryota; Metazoa; Chordata; Mammalia; Primates; Lemuridae
Exons: 6
Source: RefSeq, a predicted model, not a curated record